Molecule: ribosomal RNA, 442 nt
Filed under: uncultured Prevotella sp.
Lineage: Bacteria; Pseudomonadati; Bacteroidota; Bacteroidia; Bacteroidales; Prevotellaceae
Description: bacterial SSU rRNA
Rfam family: Bacterial small subunit ribosomal RNA
Source: RNAcentral
UGAGGAAUAUUGGUCAAUGGGCGAGAGCCUGAACCAGCCAAGUAGCGUGCAGGACGACGGCCCUAUGGGUUGUAAACUGCUUUUGCGCGGGGAUAAAGUGCGCCACGUGUGGCUCAUUGCAGGUACCGCGCGAAUAAGGACCGGCUAAUUCCGUGCCAGCAGCCGCGGUAAUACGGAAGGUCCGGGCGUUAUCCGGAUUCAUUGGGUUUAAAGGGAGCGCAGGCCGCCCCUUAAGCGUGUUGUGAAAUGCCGCGGCUCAACCGUGGCACUGCAGCGCGAACUGGGGGGCUUGAGUGCGCACAACGUUGGCGGAAUUCGUCGUGUAGCGGUGAAAUGCUUAGAUAUGACGAAGAACUCCGAUUGCGAAGGCAGCUGACGGGAGCGUUACUGACGCUUAAGCUCGAAAGUGCGGGUAUCGAACAGGAUUAGAUACCCUGGUAGU